CGCGUAGGUGGUUCGUCGCGUCCGGUGUGAAAGUCCAUCGCUUAACGGUGGAUCCGCGCCGGGUACGGGCGGGCUUGAGUGCGGUAGGGGAGACUGGAAUUCCCGGUGUAACGGUGGAAUGUGUAGAUAUCGGGAAGAACACCAAUGGCGAAGGCAGGUCUCUGGGCCGUCACUGACGCUGAGGAGCGAAAGCGUGGGGAGCGAAACA
This 208-nucleotide ribosomal RNA is filed under the name uncultured bacterium. Its description in RNAcentral is "partial 16S ribosomal RNA". It matches the Rfam family "Bacterial small subunit ribosomal RNA", at positions 568 to 775 of the family's 1533-position model. The record is from RNAcentral.